GACGAACGCUGGCGGCGUGCCUAAUACAUGCAAGUCGAGCGCAGGAAAUCGACGGAACCCUUCGGGGGGAAGUCGACGGAAUGAGCGGCGGACGGGUGAGUAACACGUAAAGAACCUGCCCUCAGGUCUGGGAUAACCACGAGAAAUCGGGGCUAAUACCGGAUGGGUCAUCGGACCGCAUGGUCCGAGGAUGAAAGGCGCUUCGGCGUCGCCUGGGGAUGGCUUUGCGGUGCAUUAGCUAGUUGGUGGGGUAAUGGCCCAUCAAGGCGACGAUGCAUGGCCGACCUGAGAGGGUGAUCGGCCACGCUGGGCCUGAGACACGGCCCAGACUCCUACGGGAGGCAGCAGUAGGGAAUCUUCCACAAUGGACGAAAGUCUGAUGGAGCAACGCCGCGUGAACGAUGAAGGCCUUCGGGUCGUAAAGUUCUGUUGUAAGGGAAGAACAAGUGCCGCAGGCAAUGGCGGCACCUUGACGGUGCCUUGCGAGAAAGCCACGGCUAACUACGUGCCAGCAGCCGCGGUAA
Molecule: ribosomal RNA, 524 nt
Filed under: uncultured bacterium
Lineage: Bacteria
Description: partial 16S ribosomal RNA
Rfam family: Bacterial small subunit ribosomal RNA
Source: RNAcentral